UUCUUCGGGGCAGGGUGUGAUUCCCUACCGGCGGUGACAGUCCGCGACCACGCAAGUGCUGAACCGGUGAAAGUCCGGUACCGACAGUAAAGUCUGGAUGAAAGAAGAA
This 109-nucleotide non-coding RNA is filed under the name Chordicoccus furentiruminis. RNAcentral's name for it is "element)". It matches the Rfam family "FMN riboswitch aptamer (RFN element)". Rfam says of the family: The RFN element is a highly conserved domain that is found frequently in the 5'-untranslated regions of prokaryotic mRNAs that encode for flavin mononucleotide (FMN) biosynthesis and transport proteins. This element is a metabolite-dependent riboswitch that directly binds FMN in the absence of proteins. Lineage: Bacteria; Bacillati; Bacillota; Clostridia; Lachnospirales; Lachnospiraceae. The record is from RNAcentral. RNAcentral also lists the same sequence under 1 other name.